GGGGAAUAUUGGACAAUGGGCGCAAGCCUGAUCCAGCAAUGCCGCGUGUGUGAAGAAGGCCUGCGGGUUGUAAAGCACUUUCAGUGGGGAAGAACGGAUACGGGCCAAUACCCCGCAUCACUGACGUUACCCACAGAAGAAGCACCGGCUAACUCCGUGCCAGCAGCCGCGGUAAUACGGAGGGUGCAAGCGUUAAUCGGAAUCACUGGGCGUAAAGCGCACGUAGGCGGCCCGCGAAGUCAGAUGUGAAACCCCUGGGCUCAACCUGGGAAUGGCAUUUGAUACUGGCAAGCUCGAGUCCGGGAGAGGGGGGUGGAAUUCCAGGUGUAGCGGUGAAAUGCGUAGAUAUCUGGAGGAACACCGGUGGCGAAGGCGGCCCCCUGGCUCGUGACUGACGCUGGGGUGCGAAAGCGUGGGUAGCAAAC
Molecule: ribosomal RNA, 425 nt
Filed under: uncultured bacterium
Lineage: Bacteria
Description: bacterial SSU rRNA
Rfam family: Bacterial small subunit ribosomal RNA
Source: RNAcentral